RNAcentral lists this long non-coding RNA (1829 nucleotides) under Triticum aestivum (bread wheat). Its description in RNAcentral is "long non-coding RNA (TAES_LNC021596)". The record is from RNAcentral. Lineage: Eukaryota; Viridiplantae; Streptophyta; Magnoliopsida; Poales; Poaceae.
UUUUCUUUUCCGAAACCCUAGAUCGGUUUCGUUUUCUUUUCCGGUUUAGUUGCCUAGAGACCGUUCGCCGGACCGUUCGCCCUAACGAACGUGAUCACCGGUUAUUCCCGGUUGACGAACGCCCGUUUGUUUAACCGUUCUUAUUUUUCUUUUCGUCGGAUUUAUUCCGCGAUCGCGAUCUCAGAUCCGAUCUUUGUUCUAGUUUAUCUUCUCGCUCGUUUAUCAGAAUCAGGUGAUUCAAGCGCCUGGAGUUUCGUUUCGAAACCGCCGUUCCAACUAAUCAACUUAAAUAAAUUUUUGCUACUGUAAAACUUGACCUAGUUUCAACUUGCUAGAACCGAGUUGUUUUCUUCCGCCGUUUGUUUUCCGUUGCUUUGUUCGGUUCUUUCUCUCUUUGCAACCGGAGUUCUUAAGUUGAACUAUCUGGUUCGAUCUCUUGUUCGAGUUUUACCUGUGCAUUGGAUGAGUACUUAUUGUAUGCUUGUUGUUUGUCUGCGAUAGAUUACCCGGAUUGCGCCGCCUGUUACUUCGAAUCUCUAGGACUCGCGGAUCAUCAGCAAGGCAAGUAACACUUUGAUCAUACCUUUUCUACAACCCAGUUUUAUUGCAUUAGAUCAAUCCUCACACAUUGCAUGAUUAUGAUCUAAUUAAAUUGUGAGAUGGGAAGUAGAUGAGGUAGUACCUAUUACCUGUUUAUUAUGAAACCUUUGGGAGUUACUUCUACGUUUGCUUAUUAUGCCAUGCUAUGCUAGUAGACGUGGAUUGGGUGAGUGAUAUCCAUGACAGAUGUGAGUGUGAUCAUUUUAAGGGUUUAUCUAAGGUGGCAACUUAAACACACAUCUGGGUGGACUGAGGCACCUGAUGUCUAUCAGGACUUGCCUGUUUUUCUUUGGACCGCCACCCAGGCUCAAAGGGAUCAUAAGAUCUUUCAUGCUAGAAACUUCCGUGUGCAGCCACAAGCUAAUAUGGGCUCUGUCAUAGUUGAUUAAGUCGUGCGAACUCUUACAGGGUAGACUAGCAGAUGUAGGGGAAAGUAGGUGUACCGGUCUAUCCAUCGUAAGGUGCUAGCGCUUCUGAAAGACUGUGUCUCGGUCAUCCGUUUCUCAAACACCGUGUAGUGCGAGAAACCCAACGGAGGCAAUCGAGUCUUGUGGGGAAAAGUGCGCAAACCUCUGCAGAGUGUAAUAAACUAAUCAUGAUUAGCCGUGUCCCCGGUUAUGGACAUCUUGAGUAUCUAGUACUUGAAUAUCAUGUGAAUCUCAUCAUGUUACUUCUAAUUAACAUUGUUGGGUUUUAAUUGUUCACUUAAUUGGGAUCGGAAUGCUGUCAACCAUUCUCGAUGUUCAACUACCAUGAUAGUUAAAUAAAUUCAUUCCUUUGCAGUAGGGAAAAACCGGCUUUAUGCAAAACAGUAACCAUAGAGCUUUCCAUCAGCCAAAUAUGCAUAUAGUAUAGCUGUUUCAUUCCAUUACUCUCUAUGUGUUAAAUUGCCAGCAUAUUCCAUGUGCUGACCCGUUUUCGGGCUGCAACUUUCAUGUUGCAGACUUUUCAGACGACGAGUAAGGUGCUUUUAGGUCGUGGUUCUAUACUCAGUGAUGCCGUUGGAGUUGAUGGACCCAUUUAUCUUCCAAGUCUUCCGCUGUUAUCGAUAUUAGAUGGCCUUAAGCCAUAUUUAUUGUAAUAAGUUCUCUUUUGAGACACCGAUGUAAUAAGUGUGUGAUUGCUACUCUGCUAUAAAUCCUUCGAAGUACUGUGUGGUGUCAGCAUUACUGAUCCAGGGAUGACACCGGAGCACAGAGACUUGAUCCAUUCGGGUCGGGUCGCUACAC